UCUUGUGGGCAGAUGACAGCAGGUAUGUGGUUGCACCGCUUGUACUCUUGUAACCACUAUGAUGCACAUGGAACCAUCCGGUGAGACCAAAAAAAGGGGCCUUACAUAGUAAAUUGCCGGUUUCAUCCUAGUCCGGGAAAAUUUUCACAUCCCGGGUACUUCCCUAGUCUUGGAACAUCCUAACCACACAGUUGAAAGGAUGAAGUCCUGGGUGAUCACUAGUUCAACUCAUUACUCCCUAGAGAAUAAUAGAUGACGGUCGGUCAAAGGUGUCUUAAGAUUCUAGUCUUUAAUGGCAUAUCAUAAUUCUUUCUUUUAAUUCUAUGUUAUGUAGAGUUUAGUGGAUGAUAUCAACAUCUUUCCUUUAGAAUAAAUACACAGCACUAGGCAGAUGAUAAAGGCACACUCUUCCCCUUCUUUCCCAAAAUCAGAAUCCUUAGGAUUUAAUAGAAAACAAGAGGGCAUACCUGAGAAGCCAAAAAGUGAAUGAGGUCUGUGUCAUCUGACUGUAUCACCCUUGUGGAAAGUCUGACAGUUGGAGGAAUAAGAGGCCACAGAGACAAAAAAAAGUACUCCCACCUUUGCUGUUUUUUUGUCUUCUCUUUUUCAGAUUGACAUCAGCCUUAGGAACCCAUAUCAUUUUUGAUUAAUUAAAAAGAGUUACAUAUCACUUAUAAUAAUAGAGAUGACUUUUGAUAACAUUAUCGACCGACCCCCCACCCCCACCCCACUCAUCCUUGGUGGAGGAAGAAAAAGGUCUUGUAAGAGUAAUAUGUCACUUGUAUUAGGAAAACAGUUUUAUCUUCUUUUAAUCUUUUUGCUUUUUUUUAUUUUAUCUGUUUGUGCAAAGAGAAAGUGCAUAAAUCUCAUGGCCUUUGCCAAUGACAUGUAAAGCUGAACAAAGAAAUACAACAAAAUUGUCAUAUCUGCUGAUUUGAAUUGCAUUGAAGUGGUCAAAAACGGAGAGGAGAAA
Molecule: long non-coding RNA, 973 nt
Organism: Vitis riparia (riverbank grape)
Lineage: Eukaryota; Viridiplantae; Streptophyta; Magnoliopsida; Vitales; Vitaceae
Exons: 2
Source: RefSeq, a predicted model, not a curated record